CCUACGGGUGGCAGCAGUGAGGAAUAUUGGUCAAUGGUCGGAAGGCUGAACCAGCCAAGCCGCGUGAAGGACGAAGGUGCCAAGUAUUGUACACUUCUUUUGUCAAGGGACAAAAUCAGGCACGUGUCCCCUCCCGAGGGUACCUUCAGAAACAGCAUCGGCUAACUCCGUGCCAGCAGCCGCGGUAAUACGGAGGAUGCGAGCGUUAUCCGGAUUUAUUGGGUUUAAGGGGUGCGUAGGGGGGCUGUUAAGUCCGCGGUCAAAGCCCGGGGCUCAACCCCGGCGAGCCGUUGAAACUGGCUGUCUUGAGAUGGAGAGAAGUAGGCGGAAUGCGCGGUGUAGCGGUGAAAUGCAUAGAUAUCGCGCAGAACUCCGAUUGCGAAGGCAGCAUGCCGGCUCCACACUGACGCUGAGGCACGAAAGCGUGGGUAUCGAACAGGAUUAGAUACCCUGGUAGUC
This 459-nucleotide ribosomal RNA is filed under the name uncultured bacterium. RNAcentral describes it as "partial 16S ribosomal RNA". It matches the Rfam family "Bacterial small subunit ribosomal RNA", at positions 338 to 795 of the family's 1533-position model. The record is from RNAcentral.